UUGCACGCUGGCGGCAGGCCUAACCCCUGCCAGUCGAGCGGAUGAAGGGAGCUUGCUCCUGGAUUCAGCGGCGGACGGGUGAGUAAUGCCUAGGAAUCUGCCUGGUAGUGGGGGAUAACGUCCGGAAACGGGCGCUAAUACCGCAUACGUCCUGAGGGAGAAAGUGGGGGAUCUUCGGACCUCACGCUAUCAGAUGAGCCUAGGUCGGAUUAGCUAGUUGGUGGGGUAAAGGCCUACCAAGGCGACGAUCCGUAACUGGUCUGAGAGGAUGAUCAGUCACACUGGAACUGAGACACGGUCCAGAUUCCUACGGGAGGCAGCAGUGGGGAAUAUUGGACAAUGGGCGAAAGCCUGAUCCAGCCAUGCCGCGUGUGUGAAGAAGGUCUUCGGAUUGUAAAGCACUUUAAGUUGGGAGGAAGGGCAGUAAGUUAAUACCUUGCUGUUUUGACGUUACCAACAGAAUAAGCACCGGCUAACUUCGUG
Molecule: ribosomal RNA, 483 nt
Filed under: uncultured bacterium
Lineage: Bacteria
Description: partial 16S ribosomal RNA
Rfam family: Bacterial small subunit ribosomal RNA
Source: RNAcentral